UUCACUACAGUUGAUUAGGGAGGUGAAAACUUAUCUCUGUUUUACACCUUAUGCCGGCAAAGACCUUUGCACUGGAGCAGAGUUUCACUGCUGAAGAAGACAUGUUGUGAUGCUUCCAGGGACCAGUUUGUUCAGGCUGAACAAGAUAGACUAUUAUUAAACUGAGCAAACAACUCCAUGUGAACUUGGUAAAGAAAUAAUCCUUUGCAACCACCUUACUAAUAACCUGGACACACAAAGAAAUGAGUAUACCUGAAGUGGGGCGGAAACUGGGAAAUGGACAGCACACACCAAGAAGGAUCAUCUAAGUAUGGCAAAUAUGUUUUCAUAGUGCUUACAACUUACUCCUUUAUGACCAAUUCCACGAGGUGGUGGGUGUCAGGUCCCCCUCCUUGUACUGUUCAGCUUUGGACUGUCACAGUAGGGAUCAGUCCUGAGAGUCUAAACUACUGCUGCAUCUGCAUGCUGAUGAUACCCAAGUAUAUGUAUAUUUGACUGCUCUUCAUCUGACCCUAGAGACAACAGUCUCCAAACUCAUGUGGUAUCUGGUAGAAUUGGUAUCUGGAUGAAAACCAACUGGCAACAUCUCAACAUGUACAAGAGAGAGGUGGCCCUGAUUGGCAAAAGAGGUGCUUGGAAAAAAUCAAUGAAAUCUGCAUAUAAUCGAGGCGUUGGAGACGUGUGAUCAAUCAUCAUCAAACAUGGCGCACAGUUUCAGUGUUUUAAUAGAUUGAUCACUGUUCAUGUGCUUCCAACACUUCCUAAAAUUACAACCCUUGAUCUCAACUCAGAUGGACAUUUUUCCUUUUCAGGGUGGGGCUUAUUUCAGUCAUCCAUACUUUUGUGACCACUUAGACUGACUUGCAGCUAACUGCAAAAGUUAAUCAUAAAAGCCACCUGGAAACUCCAUCUGGGAAAAAUACAGCUGCCCAUCUUCUCAGCUGUGUAAACUGACAAGAGCAUCAUAUUUUUGUACUCCACUUUCACUGACUGCCAGUUAACCACUGAAUGAAAUUCAUGGUGGGAUACUGGACUCUAUCUACAGUACAGAUUUGGUCUAAGCAUAGGUUGUCUUAAAGAGUAUCUUAUUCUUGUACUCCACUUGCACUGACUGCCAGUUAACCACUGAAUGAAAUGGCUUUUUCCUAUUUGUAGCCUGGCAUAUCAUUAGUAUUCACUAGGAAUGUUCAAAUUCUUAGUUCAAGGUUCACAACUCUGAACAUUUCUAUGAUGAUAUGUAUGCUUAACUGUGUUUAGGGACAACUGUAAGAAAUCUCUCUUCAUCUUUACUUUUACCAAAUUCCAUUAAUUUCUGUCAUAGUUGGGGGAUCUAAAUAUAUGUCUUAGAAUGUACCAGAGUUCUCAGUACCACUUUGGAAACAAAAUGCUACAGUCUUUUAAAAUGUCCCAGGUAAGGUGUAUGUGAAUUUGAAUGACUGAAUCUGUACUGCUCUUUGCCAUAGUAAUGGAGCCUGAGGGAGCUUAUUUACUUAUUAUCACUAUAACCUUUGUAUUUCAGUAGUGUAUAAAAGCCACCAAUCAAAUAUCCAGGUCACAUUGUGCAUGAUACGGUAUGCACAUAUGACCAAAAUACGGUCCCCUUCUUGAAGAGCCUGCCAUCAAGACAUAGGAUGAAAAUUAGCAGGUUGAUUCAACAGAGUUUGCGGAUCCCAAGGUAAUAGCGAGAGUGUUAUGGUUAGUGCCAUUAGCAGUGUUCAGAGUAUACUAGUUUCCCAAUCAUAGUCAUGCACUUUUGUAGGCAUAACCUACAGGUUUAAAGGAAUGAGCAUAGCAUAGUCAGUGAAAUAUGGAUUGUUAUGGGAUCUCUUCCAGUGUGUAGGGCAUGACAGAAAAAUGGUUGAUGGAAAACUUUGCAGAAGGAUAUCAAGGCUGGAAUUGUUUGUGGAGCAGCCAAAGGGUGUCAUAUAUAAAAGAGAGAACAGGGAUACAUCAGGAAGAGCACUGAAUCAGGCAAUGGUUUCCCAUUGUCUCGGUUCAAGUAAUCCAUUUUUCUCUGUCUAGGCUGCUGAUGUGUCUCUAAUCUUUGCUUUUAAGCAUCACUAAGUAUUUUCAUCACUUCUGGGUUAAAGAAAUCUUGCAAAGUCUUUAGGUUGUCAUUCUUUUGGCUGCAUGAGGCCUACAUGGUGACAGAAAUGAGCUACCUCCAGCUGAUGUUCCUUCCUAGCCAGGGUCUUAAAGUGUGUCACCUCCUUUCAUGAUCUGUCUUACAGACAUUACACACCAUGUUAACCUGGCGGUUAGAAAGAUUUGUUGCAGAUCUGCCAGAUUCCUUUUUACCACUUAACAAAACAAUUCUCUCCCACUGCAUUACAGGUUAAGGCCACAGUCAGGGUCUUCAUUUAUCCCAUGCCUACAGUAAUCUGCAUGGAGUACACCCUGGAAUCCCAUUGACUGUAUCAAAAAUGUCAGGCGUUGCUACGCUUAAGACUCAAUAAGGGCAUGAGUUGAUUUAAACACAUACAUCUUUUUCUCUGCCAAAAAAAUCAAUGCUGUCUCUGGCUGUAUUCCUAGUUGUGUUUCAAAUGGCUGUUUCCUGGCUCACCUUUCCACCCCCAUACAUUGCUGAGUACUGUAGCCACACUACACUCUCUCUGCAUCAGCCUGGUUGUGUCCUCCUAAAUAAAAAAAUUUUUUUUUUUUUAAUUUUGAUCCUUUUUUAUUUUUCCCUUUUUCUUUUGUCAUCGCUGUACUACAACACACUGUUUCUUUGAUGCUGAGUCCCAGCUGAUUGAAUGCCUUUGUCUUCAGUGCUAAAACUCGGCAGUGUGGCAGCACUGAUUCAGGAAGAAUGAGAUUUGCAAUAUCCCAUUUUUAGCCCAAGAACAUGAUGGUUUAUAGAGAGAGUGUUUUGUCUGCCCACUGGCUUUAGAUAAUAUUUGCAUGAACCAAAAUUAUUAUCACCUUACUGU
Molecule: long non-coding RNA, 2930 nt
Organism: Alligator sinensis (Chinese alligator)
Lineage: Eukaryota; Metazoa; Chordata; Crocodylia; Alligatoridae
Exons: 3
Source: RefSeq, a predicted model, not a curated record